This 21-nucleotide unclassified non-coding RNA is filed under the name Dictyostelium discoideum. The record is from RNAcentral. Lineage: Eukaryota; Evosea; Eumycetozoa; Dictyosteliales; Dictyosteliaceae.
AACCUGGAACGAAUCUACAUC